RNAcentral lists this unclassified non-coding RNA (433 nucleotides) under soil metagenome. RNAcentral describes it as "partial contains 5.8S ribosomal RNA, internal transcribed spacer 2, and large subunit ribosomal RNA". The stretch from base 1 to 120 matches the Rfam family "5.8S ribosomal RNA", at positions 35 to 154 of the family's 154-position model. The record is from RNAcentral.
GAUGAAGAACGUAGCGAAAUGCGAUACGUAAUGUGAAUUGCAGAAUUCAGUGAAUCAUCGAAUCUUUGAACGCAUAUUGCGCUCUCUGGUAUUCCGGAGAGCAUGCUUGUUUGAGUAUCAGUAAACACCUCAACUUCCAUAUCUUUUUUGAAAUGGGAGUUGGACUUGAGUGAUCCCAACGCUUUUCCUCACCGAAAAGUGGCGGGUUACUUGAAAUGCAGGUGCAGCUGGACUUUUCUCUGAGCUAUAAGCAUAUCUAUUUAGUCUGCCUAAAAAACAGAUUAUUACCUUUGCUGCAGCUAACAUAAAGGAGAUUAGUUCUUGUGCUGACUGAUGCAGGAUUCACAAAGACAGGCUUCGGCCGACUUUGUAAACUCGAUCUCAAAUCAAGUAAGACUACCCGCUGAACUUAAGCGUAUCAAUAAGCGGAGGA